GACGAACGCUGGCGGCGUGCUUAACACAUGCAAGUCGAACGGAAAGGCCCUGCUUUUGUGGGGUGCUCGAGUGGCGAACGGGUGAGUAACACGUGAGUAACCUGCCCUUGACUUUGGGAUAACUUCAGGAAACUGGGGCUAAUACCGGAUAGGAGCUCCUGCUGCAUGGUGGGGGUUGGAAAGUUUCGGCGGUUGGGGAUGGACUCGCGGCUUAUCAGCUUGUUGGUGGGGUAGUGGCUUACCAAGGCUUUGACGGGUAGCCGGCCUGAGAGGGUGACCGGCCACAUUGGGACUGAGAUACGGCCCAGACUCCUGCGGGAGGCAGCAGUGGGGAAUAUUGCACAAUGGGCGGAAGCCUGAUGCAGCAACGCCGCGUGCGGGAUGACGGCCUUCGGGUUGUAACCCGCUUUCGCCUGUGACGAAGCGUGAGUGACGGUAAUGGGUAAAGAAGCACCGGCUAACUACGUG
Molecule: ribosomal RNA, 468 nt
Filed under: uncultured bacterium
Lineage: Bacteria
Description: partial 16S ribosomal RNA
Rfam family: Bacterial small subunit ribosomal RNA
Source: RNAcentral